Molecule: non-coding RNA, 463 nt
Organism: Taeniopygia guttata (zebra finch)
Lineage: Eukaryota; Metazoa; Chordata; Aves; Passeriformes; Estrildidae
Source: RefSeq, a predicted model, not a curated record
GUUCGAGCCCCGGUUCUGUGGGUUCCAGCCCUGCCAUCACAAGCCAAGCCAACGCUUCCUGAGUAAUUAAUAACGUUUUCAAGCUGUGAAGGAGAGGAAGAAUUCCUUUCAACCUCUGAAAUCGGGAAGUGCUGCCAAAAAGAUUUACACAGCUGGCAUCUCACCCCCAACACAUAAGAUCUUCAGAUGCACACAGAGAGCAUGUUCCAAACAACAAACAAAAUCACAGAUCUGAAAAAAAAAAAAAUACAACCACCACCAUCAGGGCAUGAAGAAGGUUUGGGGCUGUGUAACAACAGUGGAAAUCACUGAACAGCACAACCUAAACCUGUUCUUAGUAAUGGACCAAGAUAAGGCAUAAUGCUGUUUUCAAGGCAGGAAUUUUUCCUUUGUCAUUAAAAAAAAAAAAAAAAGGGGGGGUAACUGCAGUCCACUGUAAAAAUAAAAUAACAAAAUGGGGAAA